This 381-nucleotide ribosomal RNA is filed under the name uncultured eukaryote. RNAcentral describes it as "SSU rRNA". It matches the Rfam family "Eukaryotic small subunit ribosomal RNA", at positions 587 to 972 of the family's 1831-position model. The record is from RNAcentral.
AGCUCCAAUAGCGUAUAUUAAAGUUGUUGCGGUUAAAAAGCUCGUAGUUGGAUUUCUGUUGAGGAUGGUCAGUCCGCACCCUGUGCGUGUAUUUGGUUCAGCCUCGGCAUCCUCUUGGAAAGCGCAAUCGUACUUGACUGUAUGGUGCGUGAUUCAAGACUUUUACUUUGAGGAAAUUAGAGUGUUCACGGCAGGCGUUUGCCUUGAAUAUGUUAGCAUGGAAUAAUAAUAUAAGACCUCGGUUUUAUUUUGUUGGUUUCUAGAAGCGGGGUAAUGAUUAAUAGGGACAAUUGGGGGUAUUCGAAUUAACGCGUCAGAGGUGGAAUUCUUGGAUUGCGUUACGACGAACUACUGCGAAAGCAUUUACCAAGGAUGUUUUCA